Molecule: unclassified non-coding RNA, 413 nt
Filed under: soil metagenome
Description: partial contains 5.8S ribosomal RNA, internal transcribed spacer 2, and large subunit ribosomal RNA
Rfam family: 5.8S ribosomal RNA (bases 1-120)
Source: RNAcentral
GAUGAAGAACGCAGCGAAAUGCGAUAAGUAAUGUGAAUUGCAGAAUUCAGUGAAUCAUCGAAUCUUUGAACGCACCUUGCGCUCUUUGGUAUUCCGAAGAGCAUGCCUGUUUGAGCGUCAUGAAAACAUCAACCUUGACUUGGGUUUUGUGCUCUAGUCUCGGCUUGGAAUUGGGUGCUUGCCGCUUUUACGAGCGGCUCACCUUAAAUGUAUUAGCUGGAUCUGUCUUUGAGACUUGGUUUGACUUGGCGUAAUAAGUAUUUCGCUAAGGACAUUCUUCGGAGUGGCCUCGUUUCUAGGACGCUUGUCCGCUUUCCAAUACAAGUUCCACCUCGUGGACACGACUUUUUAUUAUCUGGCCUCAAAUCAGGUAGGACUACCCGCUGAACUUAAGCAUAUCAAUAAGCGGAGGA